RNAcentral lists this ribosomal RNA (1236 nucleotides) under Triticum aestivum (bread wheat). RNAcentral's name for it is "partial small subunit ribosomal RNA". Lineage: Eukaryota; Viridiplantae; Streptophyta; Magnoliopsida; Poales; Poaceae. The record is from RNAcentral.
AUGAUGGUAACUGCCUUGGAGUGGGAAGAUGGCCCAUCUUGUGCUCUUUUCUCGGAGGGGACCGAAGACUAUGAGUGGAUGAAUCAAAAAGUAGACAUACCAGUCAAGCAUGUGCAGACAGCAAAUGCUUCUAGCUCUGAUGUGCAGAAUUCAAUCCCAUCAGUGCCAAACUUUGACAACACUCCUCAAGUUGAAAGGCCUAGCAACCUCCCAAUCGCAACAUUUGACACAGCUCCAAAGCUCCCUAGGGCAAACGACAUUCCGGGGCCUGUGUUUGAUGUGUCCCCCAUCUCAUUCAAAAACGCUUCCUCCGAUGGACCUCAAGUAGUAGUGGAUUUGCACGAGACAACCGAGGCGAAUGUUGAGGUCAGGGGUGAGUCCAACAGUCUUGGUAAACAGACAAAGAAGAAAAGGGUGGCUGUCUCCCCAGACAAUGUGCCAACGAUGAAGAAGAUUAAGGUUGAUGCACACGGUGAUGCCUUACACCAUCAGUAUGUAAUGACCAGAUACAAGACAAGAAAACCAAAGAAAAACGAGCUUCUGCCCGACUUCAUUGAAAUAGAUGGCUUCCAUACAUCUCUCGAGAAUUUUCAUGCAUCUCUAAAGCCAAGAGCGGAGAUUGACAAUGAGGUCAUGACCUUAUACCUGAAGACAUUCAAGUAUGAUGAGUCAGUGAAGAAGAAGAAGCCAAAAAAAAUUGUUUUCUCAGUGUUGAUGAGUUUGAAACUCAGUGCUGAGCCAGAUGUGUUUGAUCCGAAGGUGUGCGAAAAAGAAUUUAAGAAUGCUUGCUUACAAAAUCACAUUUCAAAAUCUGACCUGCUAUUCUUCAUGGUUGUACACAAAAGGCACUGGGCAGUAGUAGUUGUUAACAUCACCCAAAAGGAGUUCAAUAUCUUUGACUCCAUUAGGAACUCGGAAGACCUUUUUGAGAUGGACAGGAUCACUAAGAAUGUGGUCGCAAACAUCAAGAGUGUUGCAAUGAGGGAGCCACUUUUUAAGCACAAUCUCGAGUCUUACUCGCUAUUCACCCCACUUGAUUACCCUCAACAAAAAACUUACUAUAACUGUGGCUACUAUAGUAUUUUAUACGUGGAGAAUUGGGAUGGCCUUGUUAUGCUGUCAUUUGGCGAGGAUUACAUCCCAAACCUUCAGAAACGCAUUGCAGCAGAUCUGUUGAGACACCCAAGCAACAAGUUGGACCCCGCGCAUCAGCUGAAGCUGCUUCUUCAGCGUUAG